Molecule: non-coding RNA, 29 nt
Filed under: Mus musculus (house mouse)
Lineage: Eukaryota; Metazoa; Chordata; Mammalia; Rodentia; Muridae
Source: RNAcentral
UGGAAGAAACCCAGGAAGUGCUUGGACGC